UACGGAGGAUCCAAGCGUUAUCCGGAUUUAUUGGGUUUAAAGGGUGCGUAGGCGGCCUUGUAAGUCAGGGGUGAAAGACGGUAGCUCAACUAUCGCAGUGCCCUUGAUACUGCAGGGCUUGAAUACACUAGAGGUAGGCGGAAUGCGACAAGUAGCGGUGAAAUGCAUAGAUAUGUCACAGAACACCGAUUGCGAAGGCAGCUUACUAUGGUGCAAUUGACGCUGAGGCACGAAAGCGUGGGGAUCAAACAGG
RNAcentral lists this ribosomal RNA (253 nucleotides) under uncultured bacterium. Its description in RNAcentral is "partial 16S ribosomal RNA". It matches the Rfam family "Bacterial small subunit ribosomal RNA", at positions 524 to 776 of the family's 1533-position model. The record is from RNAcentral.